CGGCGGCUAGCGAGCCGGUGACGUAGUUCGAUAUUAGACCAAUGAGAGAAGAAAAGAAAUGGCCCAGCGUAUCAACGCAUGCGCCGAAGAGCUUAGCGUCGCGGGCGUCGUGGCAAUAUAACGAGCAUCCGAUGGUUUGGGCCGCCAUUUUACAUUUUCUGUCCACUUCGGCGUGGCUCUUAUCGGCUGCCUUCUGCGUCGCACCGUACUGCGAGGUCCUGCUGGUCUAAAUUACGCGCUAACCGUGGCAGCGCUUGUCCAAGUUGCACGCUGCGCAUGUUCUCGCCUUCGGCCGUCUCUGGAAGCACUGGCUUCAUGCCCCGGGCCUGCAAAACGUGAGACACGCUUCGAAAGACUUUUUUUCCCCGACCCGCCUCCCGCCUCGGCAAUUCCUGUCCCCUCUUUCGAGCUCCCGGAGUGUAAGUGACGGCCAGCCGGCAUUUACUACGUUACUAUACGCCAACGACACUCCGGUCGAGCCGGCGCAGCGUGUAAGUCGCGAGUCGUUCCUGCCGGGUCCCCGUUCUUUUGCUUGUGCGCGUUCCCACCCCACCGACGGCGCCUGGACUAUCGAACUGUGGACGAACUCUGAGCUGGCCAUUAACCGAGGACCAGCGCGGGAACCCCUCGUCGCGGCUAGCGUCGUCCUCUACGAGCUUCGCAUCGAGCGUCCUAAACGCUCAAAAGGCAUUUCCAUUUCGUUUGUGCAUUUUUCGAGCUGGUCUAGCUGGCGAGGGUGGCGCAAGCCUUAGAGAAGUUAACUGUCCCGUUGCACUAGCUAGCGCUUACUAGGAUGUAUGGCUACAUCACAAGAUAACGUAAGGUUAGUUUUGUUGCUUAGCUGUAAGCCCGAGGUUUCGCGGGCGUGGCUUGCGGCCACACGGGUCUUCUCCGUGCCGGAAUCGAAGAGGGCGGGCCACGUGUUGCGGGUGGCAGUGUAUAGCUUCAGGUUUUAGCUGGCACAGAGGGUUAGCUAACACUACGCAGGCAACAGCUGAUAGCCGUCCUCAUACGACUGCGUCAGGGACAUGGACCCAUCCGUAUGGCCUUGCCACCCGACCCCACUAUUUCGUGACAAGGUAGCCUGCGUGCGGGAGUGCGCGGACUACCUUGCGGGAUCUAGCGAAAUGUGGACUCACGGUAGCAAGCGUCAUUCGGAAACUGCCUCGCCAGCUAUCAUGUACUAACCCGCUCUCCGCAGCACCUCGACGCCGGACGUCGCCUGCUGUGUUCGUCGGAGCCGGGCCGGGCAUCAGCUGCGAGCGUCACUCACACCGCCGCACACCGUGUUCUGUCGUCGGUGCGGUCUUGUGGGCCUGGACUACUACGGGAUCCCGAGGUCCGCUUUCGAGAUUGCGGACCACGAGUAGAAAGGAUAUCCAGUGCGCUGCUCCACGUUUGCCAUCCUCCCAACGUCCCCAACCGGAGAUGGCCUUGAGCACCACUUACCGUGGCUGACCGCGUUGGCCCCUUUGCAUUUCCACGUCCAUGGCGUCCUGCUGGCACGGGGGACUUCGUCUGCUACUACUGCCCACGUGUAAGAUGGAUAUCCAGCGCGCUGCUCCACGUUUGCCAUCCUCCCAACGUCCUCAUCAGGAGAUGGCCUCGAGCACCGCUUGCACCGUGGCCGACCGUUCCCCUUGGCCGGUGCGGUCUCCCUGGCAGAGGAGAUUGCUCAUCGCCCUGCUUUGCUACGGGAUCCCGACGUCUGCUUUCGAUUGAGGCCCACGAAUUGGAAGGUUACUCGUACUGGGGCCAACGCCGUUUCUUAAUUUACAUUCCCUCACCCAUGGCGUCCUGCUGGCAGUCGGAACCACGCUCCUCGCCCGCCACUACUGAUGGCCGUUUUUGACGGGGGUGAGCGAGGAGGACAUUCGAGGCAGAGUUGCCAAAAGAUCAGAUGCUUUUGAGCAACAAUCGUUCCACGUCUGUGCACGUUUGCACAUCGGCCGCCAACGGGACAUCCAAGUCUGAGCCUCGCCACGAACCCAGGACCUGCGCGGCAACCCCUCGUCACGGCUAGCGUCGUCCUCUACGAGCUUCGCAUCGAGCGUCCUAAACGCUCACCAGGCAUUUGUAUUUGCUUUGUUCAUUUUUCUGGGUGGUCUAGCUGGCGAGGGUGGCGCAUGCCUUAGAGAAGUUAACUGUUUGUUCACUUGCACUAGCUAGCGCUUACUAGGAUGUAUGGCUACAUCACAAGAUAACGUAAAGUUAGGUUUGUUCCUUAGCUGUAAGCCCGAGGUUUCGUGGGCAUGGCGUGCGGCCACAUGGGUCUUCUCCGUGCCGGAAUCGUAGAGGACGGGCCGCGUGUGAUGGGGUAUAGCUUCAGGUUUAGCUACUGCGCAGGCUAUAGCUGUUAGCCGUCCUCUUACGACUGCGUCAGGGACAUGGACCCUUCCGUAUGGCCUUGCGACCCGACCCCACUAUUUCGUGACAAGGUAGCCCGCGCGCGUCAGUGCUAUCGAGCGAAAUGUGGGCUCACGGAAGCAAACGUCAUUCGGAAACUGCCUCGCCAGCUAUCAUGUACUAACCCGCUCUACGCAGCAACUCGACGCCGGACGUCGCCUGCUGUGUUCGUCGGAGCUGGGCCGGGAAGCGGCUACGAACGUCACUCGUAUCACGGCCCACCGUGUUCCGUCGUCGGUGCGGUCUUGUGGGCCUGGACUACUACGGGAUCCCGACGUCUGCUUUCGAUCGCGGCCCUCAAGAGUAGGAAGAUGAUCCAAUGUCUUCGCAUCUAUCGCAUUCCCUCGCCGCUGGAGUCUCGCUGGUGGAUUGGGCUUUCUUCCGCGCCAGGCGCUACCCCUGGUUCCUACCGUCUGCUUUCCAUUGGGGCUAUUCACAAGCACAUCCAGCGGGCCACUUCAGCACAUCUAGUCUUUCUCCUACAAUAGAGAUCAACUUCAUCUCUACUCGUCCCAUGGCCGGCUGUUUUACGUCAGCAUUUUUCUCGCCGGUGGCUUCCAGCUUGCAGACCGAGAUUCGUUCAUCUCGCUGCCCUACUUCUGACAAGUACCAUAUAGAUUCCAAUGGUACUACGGAUGUUUUCUCGUGUGGUAUCUAAAUCCUGCGUCAUUUAAGGUUCCAAACGUCUCUUUUGAAUGAAGCUUUGUUACGAGAUGGAGCUUUUCCAAUGGCAGCUGUUCCUUUUCUCUGUGCUGUUUUGCUUACUCAUGUUGCUACAUCUUCCCGGUGCCGCAAGCAUACAAACUUUGUGGGCUUCCGGAGAAAUUUGCUGUCGAAUGUGUACACUAUGCCGGUCAUCGACGUUUGGUUUAUGCUACGGAAAGCAUCCUUUGCCACACAGAUUUUGCAAUAGGCUCUUGACUAUCACUCUCCAUGUAAGACCACGUUGGACUUCAGUUCCUGGUGAUGUUAGGUGAUGUCAUUUCCUGACACAUAAGUUAUUUCGUCUACUCUCAGUGGCAUAUUUUUUACAGUGCUUUUGUAACUUCACAUGGUCUCCCCUUUUAUCGAAGGUUGCCGUCCUUUUCUUCAAUGUCUCCUCCCACGCUUCUGUUUCCGCCCGUUGGGUAUGCAAGAGCUAAUGGAAUAGGUUGUCUAGGUCCACCGUGAACUUGCUUUAACAGUUGGUUGUUCUUGACGCACUUCGUAUAUUAAGGUAUAUUUCUCCAUUAUGCAGUACACGUCGGCCGAUCGCUUUUCGCAGUUGACUCGAAAAGUACGGAUGAGCCUUCAUCGGAAGCCGCCAUCUUACUGUGCUUCUUCAGCAGGUAAUUCCACUUGGUGAUUGGUCACGAACUCUUCAGUUGUUUGGCGACGUAAUGUUGUGACAACAUUCAAUUAUUAGUUUUCCGGUGUCUUGCGUUGUCGCUGAACACACUUAUUUUCGAGCUGGGAAACACCUGAAAGAGUGUAGGAAAGAGUUCAAGCGUCUCCAACAGUUUCGCAGUGUACACCUGUUGUCACGGCGCAUGUGAAAGUUGUUACGCAAUAUGGCAAUGUCUCCUUUCAUUUGUAGUUGGUCCCUGAGCACCGUUGAAACGUAGGCCAACUAUUUCAAACAAUGUUGUCGUCUUUAGUCCAUCGUCCAGAGGAAGUACUUCCUCUUACAAGGAUCUGUAACGUUAUUUUCGCCACACAACGCACUGUCGUAUUGCUUUGCUUCACUUAUUUUCGUCCUCUAUUUCCCCGAAAUCUCGUCAUUAUACGAGUCGAUGUUCCACAUACUCCGUUGUGCGGUUUGUCCAUAUACGUGUCGGACUAAUAAUAAAGAUUUCUUCCUGGUAUAUGUGAUCUGUUGCUGCUCGCCUUGUCAUAUGGGCCCUGCCAAAGGUGCCCUUGAAGUCUUCUUGGAACAUCUGGCAUUCGCCUCUUGUCUGCACAUUCGCUUCUUUGCUGAAUUUCUGCAAUUCUAUUGCAAUAUACACACUUGGUUCUUGCCAAAUGAGGCAGGUUUCGGCGGUAUUUCUUUCUUCUACUUUUAGUGGACCUUUGAACUUGUCUGCUAAUAUUAUUCAUGGAACGAAUCAUUCACGCAGUUACCUUCCCAAUAUUCAAGUAAAUGCCGAACCUGUCAACUUCAAUGCCUCGUCUUGAGAUCCUUUUCAGCGUCUAACACGUGAUUCAUCUCCUUCUGUCCUUCCAUUAUUAUCCGGCGUUUCUUAACGUCUCUUCCUUGGUCCGCAUCAACUCGCAUCCCUAGCAUAAAAUUGUUCACUGCGAAAUCUUUUCUACGGUGCCUCCUGGUUAUAUCUGCUAGAUUUUUCACUACCGCUGACGUAUCCGCAUAGUUUUCCUACUGAGCAAUCCUUGAUUUUUUUUUUCAGUCUGUGUUCAACUUGUGCUUCAAGCAUUUUCUUUCUCCUAUGCAGAAUGACUGUACGAGUGCUCUAGUGUUUCACUGAUGCUCGCAAGUUCUACUUUUGCUAGAAUGACGACGGUAUCCAUCAGAACUGCUGUUUUUGUCAGGACCAGCACUGUCUCUACUCUCAUAAGAGAACCACGAAUGCUGCACUUCCAUGCGCCGUCGAGCUUGCAUCCGAUAAAGUGUGUUGCUAUUCCGUUUCAUAUUGUCGAUUUAUUCCGAUUUUCCUGGAUGCAUUCCUGCAUAGAUCAUUCAUCCUCGUCUGGUAGACGAUUGUCCCAAAAUGUUUCGGUUAUUCCUCGUUAUUGAAUGCCGAUAGCAGAAUACUGUCGGCCAUGUCCCAUUUCAUUCCUAGAAUUCUAGUCUCGCUUGAUCACGUAGGAACGGCGUCUACAUGCGCAUUAAAAUUCUCAUCACUGCUUCAGGUCCAUUUCCUAAGGUUCAUUGAAGCUCGGCGAUAUCUUUUGUUCUUGCUUCCUUGUUCAUGCACUUUCCCUGGUUUUCUUGCGAUGUUCCAAGCAUAACUUCAUCAGCGCAAACCUAAUUACAUUUACUGUCAUUGCAAGACUUGCUUCAAAAAUUCAUUAUUAUUAUUGGUCCACCUGCACUCAAAUUUCCUCCUGUCUGCACCUACAAGACGAUCACUACACUAUCGUUUUUUCAACUACCUUGCUUUUUCUUGCUGCUGUCUUUUCCGUCUUUCAUUUCCCCUUCCCCCAGGCCAGGGAAGCAAAUCAGAAUCUCAUGCGGUUCCUCUCUCCCACCCUGCCUGAGGGUUCUUCAAAACAUUCUUCACCCUGACCGCGGAGCGUCAAAUACUAAGCUUACUUUUAAUUGUCGGUCUUCGGGCAUUGCUUGAUGAGACGUAUAGUAUUUAACGUUCAGAUUCUUCCGAUCACGUCGAUCUGCCAUUCCAAGCGUGAAACUUCUCGCAUUGAACAGUUGUACUUUUAUGUCGGUACGGAAUUUGUCUCCAGCUUUCGGUAUAGUAUUCUAGUUGCUACUUGGUUGGUUUCCACGUUCACUUGCUCUCCAUCCUUCUGAAGUCCUUGUGCAGGAUGUGACUACAUGCUUCAAUUCAUGCAUCGUUUCUUUCUCAGGAAUUCGGCCAGUAUUGUCCAUUCUCAACUUCUUGUUGGCGUAAUUUCAACCAUAGCGGGAUUGAGUUUCGAACUUCUUAUUCUAGACCACAUUUGCCAGGGAAAACCCAUUCGGGAAUGCUUUCCACUUUCCAUUGCAUCUUCGUUUCGUCUGCGGUCCGCGCUCCAGAAGUUCGGGCACGAGCAUCCCCUGUUCCAGGAGCGACCGCUGUUCUACAUUCUCUCGCCAGUGGCAUCCUGCUGGUAGACUGGACUCAUCCCCUCGCCCUCCAAUACGUCUGGUUCUGCCCUCCCGUUUUCUAAUGCGGUCCACAAGGGUACCCGGCGCGCUCCUGCACGACUGUCCUCGCUGCAAAAUAUUCCUUCGGGCACGAGCAUCCCCAGUUCCAGGAGCGACCCCUACUCUACAUUCUCUCGCCAGUGGCAUCCUGCUGGUAGACUGGACUCGUCCCCUCGCCCUCCAAUACGUCUGGUUCUGCCCUCCCGUUUUCUAAUGCGGUCCACAAGGGUACCCAGCGCGCUCCUGCACGACUGUCCUCGCUGCAAAAUAUUCCUUCGGGCACGAGCAUCCCCUGUUCCAGGAGCGACCCCUACUCUACAUUCUCUCGCCAGUGGCAUCCUGCUGGUAGACUGGACUCAUCCCCUCGCCCUCCAAUACGUCUGGUUCUGCCCUCCCGUUUUCUAAUGCGGUCCACAAGGGUACCCAGCGCGCUCCUGCACGACUGUCCUCGCUGCAAAAUAUUCCUUCGGGCACGAGCAUCCCCUGUUCCAGGAGCGACCCCUACUCUACAUUCUCUCGCCAGUGGCAUCCUGCUGGUAGACUGGACUCAUCCCCUCGCCCUCCAAUACGUCUGGUUCUGCCCUCCCGUUUUCUAAUGCGGUCCACAAGGGUACCCGGCGCGCUCCUGCACGACUGUCCUCGCUGCAAAAUAUUCCUUCGGGCACGAGCAUCCCCAGUUCCAGGAGCGACCCCUACUCUACAUUCUCUCGCCAGUGGCAUCCUGCUGGUAGACUGGACUCGUCCCCUCGCCCUCCAAUACGUCUGGUUCUGCCCUCCCGUUUUCUAAUGCGGUCCACAAGGGUACCCGGCGCGCUCCUGCACGACUGUCCUCGCUGCAAAAUAUUCCUUCGGGCACGAGCAUCCCCAGUUCCAGGAGCGACCCCUACUCUACAUUCUCUCGCCAGUGGCAUCCUGCUGGUAGACUGGACUCGUCCCCUCGCCCUCCAAUACGUCUGGUUCUGCCCUCCCGUUUUCUAAUGCGGUCCACAAGGGUACCCGGCGCGCUCCUGCACGACUGUCCUCGCUGCAAAAUAUUCCUUCGGGCACGAGCAUCCCCAGUUCCAGGAGCGACCCCUACUCUACAUUCUCUCGCCAGUGGCAUCCUGCUGGUAGACUGGACUCAUCCCCUCGCCCUCCAAUACGUCUGGUUCUGCCCUCCCGUUUUCUAAUGCGGUCCACAAGGGUACCCGGCGCGCUCCUGCACGACUGUCCUCGCUGCAAAAUAUUCCUUCGGGCACGAGCAUCCCCAGUUCCAGGAGCGACCCCUACUCUACAUUCUCUCGCCAGUGGCAUCCUGCUGGUAGACUGGACUCGUCCCCUCGCCCUCCAAUACGUCUGGUUCUGCCCUCCCGUUUUCUAAUGCGGUCCACAAGGGUACCCGGCGCGCUCCUGCACGACUGUCCUCGCUGCAAAAUAUUACUUCGGGCACGAGCACCCCCUGUUCCAGGAGCGACCACUACUCUACAUUCUCUCGCCAGUGGCAUCCUGCUGGUAGACUGGACUCAUCCCCUCGCCCUCCAAUACGUCUGGUUCUGCCCUCCCGUUUUCUAAUGCGGUCCACAAGGGUACCCGGCGCGCUCCUGCACGACACUGCUGCCUGCGCUACAAAUGAUUACUUCAGGCAAGAGCAUCACCUGUUCCAGAAGCCACGGCUAUUCUACAUUCUCUCGACAUUGGCGUCCUGCUUGUGGACUGGACUUAGCCCGGAGCGCUUGCAGUUGAUUCUGGUUCCCAGUGCAUGCUGUCGCUUGUGGUGCAAGAGAAGUGUUCCAGCACGCUCAUCUACAAGACGCCUGGCCUUACCUCAAGAGUCGAAGCCCGGUCGUGCUGCACCAGGAUCCAUAGAGCACGCUUCCUCCUUGCUGUGAAAGCGUCUCACGCCUGCACUGUGUUGGCGGCGUGUUCAUGUUCUGAAGGACUGUCUCCUCACCGUCCCGCAACCGUCCAUCGGAUGUGCUCCUAGAGUUCUUCACUGUUGAUUUUGUUUGCGGAAGCAUAUUUAAUAAGUUUAAUUGAGCAACAAGCUUUUCUGCUCUGAAAUGUUCGUGCGUUGCUCGCCGAAUGGAUGCCCUGCUCACCGACGGAGCACAGUAAAUAAGCCUUUUUACUUGGACACCACUCGGUCUUUAAGAAGGGUUGUGAGUGUCUUCAUGAGCUGAUCUGUAAAUUUUUGCUGGCGAGAGUAACGGACAUUCAUUCCCAUUGUGCACUUUCGUAGUCGUACAUUGAUCCUGGUUUUGUGUGUGUGUGUGUGUGUGUGUGUGUGUGUGUGUGUGUGUGUGUGUGUGUGUGUGUGUGUGUGUGUGUGUGUGUGUGUGUGUGUGUGUGUGUGUGUGUGUGUGUGUGUGUGUGUGUGUGUGUGUGUGUGUGUGUGUGUCACGAGCUUGCAUUUUGGUUCGUCCAUUUCAGAUGUGUCACCUACUCUGUGCAUCUUUUGUUCGGUAGAGAAGGUGUGACGUAAGCUUCACUGCUACACGGCGAACAUCGAAUUUUUUAUAUUUCGGUAGCAUUUCCAGCGUCAGUUGAUGCUCCAGGUUUUUCUGGGUCAUUCCUGUUGAAAGGUUCCUGGUUUGAUGGUUUACUAUCCUCCAUGGUCAUCUACUUUUGAAUUGGUUGAACCGCUCGUUUCAUUGGCUUUGGUCCUUUGGUAGAUCUCAGUGCUCGUUUCGGCAUUCAGGUGAUUUGUUCUGGCGUCUUUAUCGUAUCGGAAAGGUCUCCAUACAUCCUCGGUUCUUCCACGUCCCUCACCACCCACUCGGAGGGAUCAGCGUGCCACUACAAAAGCACACAAUGUCAAUGAAUGGGAAAGGGGAGGGUGGUUACUCUCGCCAACAAAAAUUUGCUGAUUUGCUCACGAUGAUAAUGACAUCCAGCUUUAAGACUGGUUUGUCGUAGAUCUUAUUGUGCUCACCGUUUUAGCUUUUUUUUUUUUGAUGUGCGGGAAUCAUUACAUGAUCAUUACAUGUAUUAUUGCCUGUCCGUUCAUCAGACUGCUUCUCGUUGUCGUCGUUUGUUCACCGCCUAUACUGCAUCAGAACGGCGCCGUAGUUGAUUUAUGUAUGCCUUUUUAUUGCUUACUGCGCCAGGUCAGUAGGAACAGCGCACCCUUGACGCGGCUGUGACGUCGUUGCCUGCUGACUGUAGUUGCGAUUACGGAGUGUGGUAAUUUCGUGAUUGUUGUGUAUCGAGUGAGCCAUCGUCUGACGGCAGCUUCAAAGGGACUACAUUUACUCCCCUUUGCUAAGUCGUGUCUAAAUGUGUCUAGACAAGUGACGAGCACGCGCAGGAAAAUCGAAUGUCCGCUUUAGUAUUGUAUUUUGUGUUGAAGCCAGUUACGUUUACGAGUUCCUCUCGUACUUCUUGCUGUACGCUGUGUUAAUGUCUUUGCGUAGCACUUCGAAUGUAUUUGAAUGAGUUUGCUUUGAAUAGUUUUUUUUUAAUUCGCAGAUGCUAUUGUUAGCCUAUAUAAUCGCCAUAUGAGAACACACAUUUUAUUACCAAUUACUUCGAAUGUUCUCAACCAGUAAUUAUCUUGUCUCCACGUUGCUUGAUAACUGGAAAAGCGAGCACUGUCUUAAAUAGAUGAUUUCCUGUACCUCAUUACUCUGCCAUUACUUUUUUUUUUGCUGCUUCAAUCCACUGUGACGCAAAGUCAAGCAACCACACAUGUACGAUGCUGCUCAGUCGAACUUGUUUUUCCGGGGCCUUUCUCCAGGAAGUAACAUUUUAUUUCACUCUUCAGUACAGACGACACCCUUGCAUUUAUAUCGCACAAUGCUCGCGAUAGGUUUGUGAUACCACCAGUGCAGGCAUUUGGACUUAUUGUUGCGCCAUCUUGAAGGCCUUUUUUUGUGUAACUAGUUACAUGGACGAAGAGAAAGAACGAUGCCCACACAGCACUCAAUAGUUCGCAAUAGGACGGCUAUCCACGAAAUUACUGCAUAUUGUGGGGUCAGUGAUUAUGAGGUGACGUGGUACGUAGGGUCAUCAUGUAGGAAUAGGUUUAUGUCCAGUUGGGUCCUAAAGGCACAGAAGAGGCACGUUCGAAUAGUGACGUUCUCGUUUGGUGAAAACAAAAAUCGGGGUGAAGUUUUAUUCCGCUCCCAGCGAAGGUGCUGUGCAACGCUUACUCAUUUCAGGUAGUUCAAAUAACUUCACGCUGUGAAGCCCUUAUGCAUGCAAAUAAAGCCGUAAAGCUAUUGGUGCGACCUAUGUUAUGCUGUUAUUGUCGCUUUUAUUUCUGGUGUUCUACGAAAACGGAGCACUAUUCGCACAUGGAAUAACCUACCUGUCAAUGUUGUUGAGUAUUCGACGGUGUCUCCUUGAGUGCAUUCCGCAAUAGCUAACGAUGCUUCACCUUGUCGUGGCAUAUUGUUUCUACGUCCCUUUGUAUGUCUUACGUGGGUCCUUCUAAUGCCGUACUUGCUCGACCAAAUGUAGAUUGUAUUCCUAUAUACUGCAUUGUUAUGUACCCCACUCCUGCCUAAAGCCUGACAUCCAGGCUGACAAUAUGCAAUAAUGUCCGUUUUGCAUUUUUAUACGCGGAAGUACCUUGAAGCUGAGAAAUUCUUUGUGCUAUGUAAAUCCCCUUAUAUAUUCUAUAUGUAUACAUGUACACGUGUGACUUCAUGUGUUCAUUCUGUAUAAAUAAAUGCACUGUAUGCUGCUUUCUGUAUCAUCGGGGAUGAAGCCCAAGUCAGGCAGCAUGAGUCGCUUUUAAUUUCGUUUAUGGUCGUGUUUUUGCGCUUAUUGUACUGAGAAUUCAUCACUUUAGACUACGCCUUACAGAUCUGUCAAAAUAAAACUUCUUAUUCCUGC
Long non-coding RNA from Dermacentor albipictus, 11026 nucleotides. RefSeq lists it as uncharacterized. The record is from RefSeq and is a predicted model, not a curated record. Lineage: Eukaryota; Metazoa; Arthropoda; Arachnida; Ixodida; Ixodidae.